GUGGAUUAGAUACCCUGGUAGUCCACGCUGUAAACGAUGUGCGCUAGACGUUGGGAGGCCUAGCCUUCCGGUGUCGCCGCUAACGCUUUAAGCGCACCGCCUGGGGAGUACGGCCGCAAGGUUAAAACUCAAAGGAAUUGACGGGGGCCCGCACAAGCGGUGGAGCAUGUGGUUCAAUUCGACGCAACGCGAAGAACCUUACCAGCCCUUGACAUGUCCCGUAUGGGGCCGAGAGAUCGGCUUCUUCAGUUCGGCUGGCGGGAACACAGGUGCUGCAUGGCCGUCGUCAACU
RNAcentral lists this ribosomal RNA (292 nucleotides) under uncultured bacterium. Its description in RNAcentral is "partial 16S ribosomal RNA". It matches the Rfam family "Bacterial small subunit ribosomal RNA", at positions 773 to 1060 of the family's 1533-position model. The record is from RNAcentral.